This 301-nucleotide unclassified non-coding RNA is filed under the name Hevea brasiliensis (rubber tree). The record is from RNAcentral. Lineage: Eukaryota; Viridiplantae; Streptophyta; Magnoliopsida; Malpighiales; Euphorbiaceae.
GGGAUGUAAAGCAAAAUCUGGAAUGAAAUUCACAAUGGGAAACCAACCCAGAAAAGUUUUUCCCCCGCCCCUGUACAUUCACGUUUUACACUGUACUACAAAAAUGUACAGGAGACCUUAGCCUUGUUAUCUUUGAAUGAAAUUUGUUAAACACAAAAGAAGGCAUGCAAUACAAUCUACCAAUUUUGCAUUUGGAUUGCACAUACAAAUGCCAAGCACAUAAUCAGCAGAAACAUGAUUUUAGGCAACUAUAGUUGUUGCAAACCAAGCACACGUAUAUACCUUAGCAUUGGGACUAUUG